AAGCUUCUCACCCUGGCCAGGGAUGGCACACUCCUGGCUACAUACUCAGACCCAGCACUAGAGAGCCCACUUGGUCUACAUGUGACCCCUGCAGGCCAGGUGCUGGUCUGUGGACGCUGGUCCUACACUGUACUACAGGUGGGCUGGGAGGGGGAGAGUAAGCUGGCUACGCUGGCUUCUCAGAAGGAUGGAGUGUGGAGGCCAUUGUCAGUCUGCUACAGCAGCACCACAUCAUCCAUCAUUGUGGGACAGCUGGGGGACUACAUCCUGGUGUUCAGAGUGGAAUAGUGUGUACAUUGGCUGCUGAGUCAGGACAACGAUGCUGAGGAUGUGGUGGACAAGAAUAACCUGAAUACGCAGAAGGACAGCACCACCAUUGACAUCGAGUUGGCCCAGCAACAGCACCAGUCCUGCCUGCAGGAGCCCCAGUCAAGGACGACCCAUCCACUCCCCUGACCCAUAGCUCAUCAUACUUGAUAUCCGGAAAAAUGGGGCCUAAUGCAUGUGCUUAAAUUGUUGUCACAGAUAAGCCUGUGCAAAUUGCACAGGCUAAUAAUGGACAACACUUUCUUCUUAAAGCAGAGCACCAGCAUUGAUAUUGAGUUGGCACAACAACUGCACCAGUCCCGCCUGCAGGAGCCCCAGGCUAGAACGACCCUUCCCCUCCCUUGACUUCUAACUCCUCCCCCUUGACCUCCUGCCUCAAAAAGUCAGCAUCGUUGAACAACUCCGUUCUGCAGGAAAGAAAAUUCUGAGCAUGAUUCUGUUCUGAACAAACGCUAUGCCCACGUCACGUUUUCCAAACAUAAGCCUGGGUAGUUUUGUUAAGCUAGAGUUCUGUGUGGGCCAGAAAGGGACGAGUGUUACAGACACGAAAAGUUAUAGCAUUAGUUAUGGUAACGCUAACAGUCAGUUGUUGCUGUUGGACAUCACAACAAAUAUCAUGAAGAAUAAAAAGUUCAAUAACUCGUUCCAAUCUUUAUGAGACAAACAGAAAUUGAACGGGAGAAAAUCAAAGAACAAUAAAAGCGUAAGCUUUCCUAGUGGGAUACUUCUGCUGUUAAUAGUUUGGACAACAGUAGGGUUGUGGACUGCCGUAGAUUGUCUUCUCAGCGGCCAAAAUAUCAUAAUAGAACGGACUUUUGGCAAUGUUACUGACAAAGAAAGGCAAUAAUGACUUGGUUUUGAAUACCCAGAGCACGAUACAUCCAUGCUGACAAAGAAAGGCAGUAAUGACUUGGUUGUGAACACCCAGAGCGCGAUACAUCCAUGCUGACAAAGAAAGGCAGUAAUGACUUGGUUGUGAACACCCAGAGCACGAUACAUCCGUGCUGACACAGAAAGGCAGUAAUGACUUGGUUGUAAACACCCAGAGCACAA
Long non-coding RNA from Dreissena polymorpha, 1380 nucleotides. RefSeq lists it as uncharacterized. The transcript has 4 exons. Lineage: Eukaryota; Metazoa; Mollusca; Bivalvia; Myida; Dreissenidae. The record is from RefSeq and is a predicted model, not a curated record.